UUGUUAUGAUUUGUUAAUCAAGUUACUCUGACUGUAGGUUAUAAACUGAGUUUAGAAUGUCCUCCGGGGGAACCUCUCGCGAGGUAAUUACAAGUAAACCCCGAGGCAACACAGGUUUAGAAUUCAAAGGGUUGGAGGUCGGCUUUCGUUAAGAUCGCCUUCACUCGUUAAUGAUCCCUCCGCAGGUUCACCUACGGAGA
This 200-nucleotide unclassified non-coding RNA is filed under the name uncultured fungus. RNAcentral's name for it is "sequence contains ITS1". Lineage: Eukaryota; Fungi. The record is from RNAcentral.